RNAcentral lists this ribosomal RNA (451 nucleotides) under uncultured bacterium. Its description in RNAcentral is "partial 16S ribosomal RNA". It matches the Rfam family "Bacterial small subunit ribosomal RNA", at positions 29 to 523 of the family's 1533-position model. The record is from RNAcentral.
AACGAACGCUGGCGGCAGGCUUAACACAUGCAAGUCGAACGCGUGUAGCAAUACACGAGUGGCGCACGGGUGAGUAACGCGUGGAUAUCUGCCUUUUGGUUCGGAAUAACCCCGGGAAACUGGGGCUAAUACCGGAUGGUUCCUUCGGGAUAAAGAUUUAUCGCCAAAAGAUGAGUCCGCGUCCGAUUAGCUAGUUGGUGAGGUAACGGCUCACCAAGGCGACGAUAGGUAGCUGGUCUGAGAGGACGAUCAGCCACACUGGGACUGAGACACGGCCCAGACUCCGACGGGGGGCAGCAGUGUGGAAUAUUGGACAAUGGGGGCAACCCUGAUCCAGCCAUGCCGCGUGAGUGAUGAAGGCCUUCGGGUUGUAAAGCUCUUUUGGCGGGGACGAUGAUGACGGUACCCGCAGAAUAAGCCCCGGCUAACUUCGUGCCAGCCGCCGCCGUAA